This 1240-nucleotide ribosomal RNA is filed under the name metagenome. RNAcentral describes it as "bacterial LSU rRNA". It matches the Rfam family "Bacterial large subunit ribosomal RNA", at positions 1564 to 2814 of the family's 2925-position model. The record is from RNAcentral.
UGAAUACGAGACGCUAAGGCGUUGAAGUAGUGUAUGUCAUACUUCCAAGAAAAGCUUGCACUGUCAUAGAUAAAAAACGCCUGUACCAUAACCGACACAGGUGGGUAGGUAGAGUAUACUAAGGGGCGCGAGAUAACUCUCUCUAAGGAACUCGGCAAAAUAACUCCGUAACUUCGGGAGAAGGAGUGCCUUAUUUAUAAGGCUGCAAUAACAAGAUCCAAGCAACUGUUUAUCAAAAACACAGGUCUCCGCUAAGUCGUAAGACGAUGUAUGGGGGCUGACGCCUGCCCAGUGCCAGAAGGUUAAAGAAGUUGGUUAGCAAUAGCGAAGCUGAUAACUGAAGCCCUGGUGAACGGCGGCCGUAACUAUAACGGUCCUAAGGUAGCGAAAUUCCUUGUCGGGUAAGUUCCGACCCGCACGAAAGGCGUAAUGAUUUGGAUACUGUCUCGGAGAGGGGCUCGGUGAAAUAGACUUGUCUGUGAAGAUGCGGACUACCUGCACCAGGACAGAAAGACCCUAUGAAGCUUUACUGUAACUUGAAAUUGAAAUUGGACUUUAUUCGCGCAGUAUAGGUGGGAGGCGUUGAUUGUAAUCUUGCGGGAUUAUUGGAGCCAUCAGUGAGAUACCACCCUUGUAAUGUUAGAUUUCUAACUUUGAAUCAUUAUCUGGUCAAAGAACAGUUUCAGGCGGGCAGUUUGACUGGGGCGGUCGCCUCCUAAACGGUAACGGAGGCGUACAAAGGUUUCCUCUGAACGGUUAGAAAUCGUAUCUAGAGUGUAAAGGCAUAAGGAAGCUUGACUGUGAGGCCUACAAGUCGAGCAGGGACGAAAGUCGGUCUUAGUGAUCUGACGGUACUGAGUGGAAAGGCCGUCACUCAACGGAUAAAAGUUACUCUAGGAUAACAGGCUGAUCUCCCCCAAGAGUUCACAUCGACGGGGAGGUUUGGCACCUCGAUGUCGGCUCAUCGCAUCCUGGGGCGGUAGUACGUCCCAAGGGUUGGGCUGUUCGCCCAUGAAAGCGGUACGCGAGCUGGGUUCAGAAUGUCGUGAGACAGUUCGGUCCAUAUCCGGUGUAGGCGUUAGAAUAUUGAGAGGAGCCUUCUUUAGUACGAGAGGACCGAGAAGGACAUACCUCUGGUGUACCAGUUAUCGUGCCAACGGUAAACGCUGGGUAGCUAUGUAUGGAGUGGAUAACCGCUGAAAGCAUCUAAGUGGGAAGCCCACCUCAAGAUAAGUAUUCU